This 489-nucleotide ribosomal RNA is filed under the name uncultured bacterium. RNAcentral describes it as "partial 16S ribosomal RNA". It matches the Rfam family "Bacterial small subunit ribosomal RNA", at positions 28 to 507 of the family's 1533-position model. The record is from RNAcentral.
GAUGAACGCUAGCGGCAGGCUUAAUACAUGCAAGUCGAGGGGCAGCAGGACUGUAGCAAUACAGUUGCUGGCGACCGGCAAACGGGUGCGGAACACGUACGCAACCUACCCAAAACUGGGGGAUAGCCCGGGGAAACCCGGAUUAAUACCUCGUAACCUUUUUAAGUGGCAUCACUUGAUAAGUAUAGCUCCGGCGGUUUUGGAUGGGCGUGCGCCUGAUUAGGUAGUUGGUGCGGGUAACGGCCCACCAAGCCUGCGAUCAGUAACUGGUGUGAGAGCACGACCAGUCACACGGGCACUGAGACACGGGCCCGACUCCUACGGGAGGCAGCAGUAAGGAAUAUUGGUCAAUGGACGCAAGUCUGAACCAGCCAUGCCGCGUGAAGGAUGAAGGUCCUCUGGAUUGUAAACUUCUUUUAUGGGGGACGAAACCCGGAUAUUCUUAUCCGAUUGACGGUUCCUCAGGAAUAAGCACCGGCUAACUCCGUG